RNAcentral lists this ribosomal RNA (725 nucleotides) under Rhodotorula babjevae. RNAcentral's name for it is "eukaryotic LSU rRNA". The stretch from base 127 to 725 matches the Rfam family "Eukaryotic large subunit ribosomal RNA", at positions 1 to 604 of the family's 3401-position model. The record is from RNAcentral. Lineage: Eukaryota; Fungi; Basidiomycota; Microbotryomycetes; Sporidiobolales; Sporidiobolaceae.
GCAUUAGCAUCCGCAACCGAACUUCGGAUUUGACUUGGCGUAAUAGACUAUUCGCUGAGGAUUCUAGUUUACUAGAGCCGAGUUGGGUUAAAGGAAGCUCCUAAUCCUAAAGUCUAUUUUUUGAUUAGAUCUCAAAUCAGGUAGGACUACCCGCUGAACUUAAGCAUAUCAAUAAGCGGAGGAAAAGAAACUAACAAGGAUUCCCCUAGUAGCGGCGAGCGAAGCGGGAAGAGCUCAAAUUUAUAAUCUGGCACCUUCGGUGUCCGAGUUGUAAUCUCUAGAAGUGUUUUCCGUGUUGGACCGCACACAAGUCUGUUGGAAUACAGCGGCAUAGUGGUGAAACCCCCGUAUAUGGUGCGGACGCCCAGCGCUUUGUGAUACACUUUCAAUGAGUCGAGUUGUUUGGGAAUGCAGCUCAAAUUGGGUGGUAAAUUCCAUCUAAAGCUAAAUAUUGGCGAGAGACCGAUAGCGAACAAGUACCGUGAGGGAAAGAUGAAAAGCACUUUGGAAAGAGAGUUAACAGUACGUGAAAUUGUUGGAAGGGAAACGCUUGAAGUCAGACUUGCUUGCCGGAGCUUGCUUCGGUUUGCAGGCCAGCAUCAGUUUUCCGGGGUGGAUAAUGACGGUUUGAAGGUAGCAGUCUCGGCUGUGUUAUAGCUUUCCGUUGGAUACAUCCUGGGGGACUGAGGAACGCAGCGUGCUUUUUGCGAAAGACUCGUCUUUCA